UACAGAGGUCCCAAGCGUUGUUCGGAUUCACUGGGCGUAAAGGGUGCGUAGGUGGUCGGGUAAGUCUGGUGUGAAAUCUCCGAGCUCAACUCGGAAAUGGCAUUGGAUACUAUUCGGCUAGAGGGUUGGAGGGGGGACUGGAAUACUUGGUGUAGCAGUGAAAUGCGUAGAUAUCAAGUGGAACACCAGUGGCGAAGGCGAGUCCCUGGACAACUCCUGACACUGAGGCACGAAAGCUAGGGGAGCAAACAGG
Molecule: ribosomal RNA, 253 nt
Filed under: uncultured bacterium
Lineage: Bacteria
Description: partial 16S ribosomal RNA
Rfam family: Bacterial small subunit ribosomal RNA
Source: RNAcentral